Long non-coding RNA from Tachysurus fulvidraco (yellow catfish), 751 nucleotides. RefSeq lists it as uncharacterized. The transcript is spliced from 4 exons. Lineage: Eukaryota; Metazoa; Chordata; Actinopteri; Siluriformes; Bagridae. The record is from RefSeq and is a predicted model, not a curated record.
UGAGACACAGGUGCAGCUAAUUGACUGGGCCUGUGGUUAGUGAGACGCUGGAGAACACGGCCAGGACUGCAGAAGGACUGUGGUGUAAUUUCACCCAAGUAGAUAAACACACUCGGAUGUGAUUCACUCAACCAUACAGCACAAAGUCCCAGGCUGCUGUAACUACCAUUGACUCAUCUGAAUUUCCUAAAGAUCAUCAGGAGAAGAAUGUUACAUCCGUACUGUUCCUGUGUGGUACCUGGAUUAACAACCAUGCUGUAGAUAGCGCAUGUUAUCCAACCAGGAUAGCACCAUAAGGUUCCUCACUCCAGUGGUUCUGAUCCAUGUUUUGUCCUGUUGCAACUCCCCAAACAUUUUACAACUACAUGCCUCUGCACUCGGCCUAAAUCGUACUACAGCUACCUGCUUUUCUACACUGAGCAGAUGGAGUUGGUCUGAAAGCUCUGGGUGUGUAAUCCGCUACUGCUGUAACGGUUUUAUUGUAUCGCACUUGAUGGAGAUAAAAUAUGCAGAAGAACAUGUUAAAUACACACACAAAAAAAAACACAAGCUAUGAUCUGAUAUCUGUUUUGUGAUUUAAAAAAUAUAUCAAAGGAGCUUGUUUGCCUCAGUACUAAUUGCUCCUGUCCUGGUCAUGGUCACAGAUCUUAUCCUGGGAAUAUAAUAUAUUAUUUCUAAAACUUGUGGUUUUUACUUAAUCCUGACCUAUAUUUAUAGCUUAGCUCAAUGUCACUGAGUUCUUUCUGAAUAA